GUCAACUCACGUGUACCCGAGCAGCCACCGGCGCUAACACAAUGGACGCUGACGACUCUGAAGAGGGACUGGCAUACUUCAACUGGAAAUACAGUCACUAACUCGAGUUUCUCUAAAGAGGACAAUACUAAGGCUGCUUUCAGAGUCGGUGGAAACCAGGGAGCUUCUGGAGUCUGCAAUGUGAACUGGACCAACAUUGGGAGUGGAGUUGUGAGGAGAGGCUCCGCUGACAAAUCAGGGGUAGAAUAUGCAGUACACGCAUAGAGCUCCUGAUUUUUGGAAAAAUGUGUACAUUUCACACAGUGAAAAAAUUUACGUAUGUUCCCAAGCUAUAAGAGGGACCCUUUGAGGCAGCCCACCGAUAAAACAUUGUGGGCCAAAAGUUUGAAUAUGUACUAUUAUCUGUGAGUGUAUGGUAAUUAUCAGAAUUAAAUGAGUCCACUUGUUUCAUCCAGAAAAACUACUCUUAAAGACCCUGUAGAGUGAAUUCAGAGAUUUGUUUCUUAUAAAUGUUUGAAUUGCUGAAAACGUGCAAAAACAGAGAACUACUAUAUGUUGUACUUAAUUGUGAAGAGAGAGCAUUGAACAGUUUUUCACCACUUCAGUUUUCCUAAUUUCUUUGGGGGGGAGGGGGGGUUAGGGAGCUAAAACCGCACCCAGUGAGGCCACUAUGUUAGAAUAAAAGUACAUUGUUAUCCCAUAUUUACUCUUAUAGUAUUUUCAAAGCAUGCAUUUAGCAGUAUGUUGAUUGUAUCAUAAAAGUUGACGUCUGUGAAGAGGACUGGGCCCUCAUCAAAAAGAUAGCGGCUGGAACAUUUUGCGGUCAGAAGUCAAAGUUUGAAGCAAUCAACCCUGAGGAAGAACACAUCUCCACAAAGAGUCAUAUAUGUGAUUGUUUACGAUGCUGCUACGUGCUCCCCCAACUUUAUAGCAGCAACAGCUGUGUAACUAGGAACU
Molecule: long non-coding RNA, 957 nt
Organism: Phyllopteryx taeniolatus (common seadragon)
Lineage: Eukaryota; Metazoa; Chordata; Actinopteri; Syngnathiformes; Syngnathidae
Exons: 3
Source: RefSeq, a predicted model, not a curated record